UACAGAGGUCUCGAGCGUUAAUCGGAGUCACUGGGCUUAAAGGGUGCGUAGGCGGCGCCGCAAGUGCCUUGUGAAAUCCACGGCUCAACCGUGGAAUUGCUCGGCAGACUGCGGCGCUUGAGGUGGUAGGGGUCGCUGGAACUCUAGGUGGAGCGGUGAAAUGCGUAGAUAUCUAGAGGAACGCCAAAGGUGAAGACAGGCGACUGGGCCGAUUCUGACGCUGGAGGCACGGAAAGCGUGGGGAGCGAACGGG
This 253-nucleotide ribosomal RNA is filed under the name uncultured bacterium. RNAcentral describes it as "partial 16S ribosomal RNA". It matches the Rfam family "Bacterial small subunit ribosomal RNA", at positions 524 to 776 of the family's 1533-position model. The record is from RNAcentral.